CAUACUAUGUGCAUCUUAUAUCCUGUUUAAGGAAGAUUGUAAUCGCUUUGUUUUUUCCUUUAGGGCUUACACAACAUGAAUGAGCUUCUUGAAUUUCUUAAGAUUGCCAGUAAGCUACAUUGAAAGUUAUUAAAGAAGACUCCUUCAGUUUAAGGGAGAGACUCCUAUAAUUUCUAAUAUUUAAUUUGCUUUUUUAUAUAUAUUUUUUGUAAAUCUACUAUGACAGUUUACAUCUAAGUCUUUUUAUAAAUUUUUUAAAAUCGAUACUUCAAUAUAUGGUCUGAAUAAAAAGAAAAUUAAAAUA
Molecule: long non-coding RNA, 304 nt
Filed under: Rattus norvegicus (Norway rat)
Lineage: Eukaryota; Metazoa; Chordata; Mammalia; Rodentia; Muridae
Description: long non-coding RNA NONRATT021235
Source: RNAcentral